AGCGAACGCUGGCGGCAGGCCUAACACAUGCAAGUCGAACGAACCUUUCGGGGUUAGUGGCGGACGGGUGAGUAACACGUGGGAACGUGCCUUUAGGUUCGGAACAACUCAGGGAAACUUGUGCUAAUACCGAAUGUGCCCUUCGGGGGAAAGAUUUCUUGCCUUUAGAGCGGCCCGCGUCUGAUUAGCUAGUUGGUUGAGGUAAUGGCUCACCAAGGCGACGAUCAGUAGCUGGUCUGAGAGGAUGAUCAGCCACAUUGGGACUGAGACACGGCCCAAACUCCUACGGGAGGCAGCAGUGGGGAAUCUUGCGCAAUGGGCGAAAGCCUGACGCAGCCAUGCCGCGUGAAUGAUGAAGGUCUUAGGAUUGUAAAAUUCUUUCACCGGGGACGAUAAUGACGGUACCCGGAGAAGAAGCCCCGGCUAACUUCGUG
This 434-nucleotide ribosomal RNA is filed under the name uncultured bacterium. RNAcentral describes it as "partial 16S ribosomal RNA". It matches the Rfam family "Bacterial small subunit ribosomal RNA", at positions 29 to 507 of the family's 1533-position model. The record is from RNAcentral.